The sequence is a ribosomal RNA, 509 nucleotides long. The stretch from base 145 to 299 matches the Rfam family "5.8S ribosomal RNA".
AUCGCUGCCGACAUGUCCACAUCCUGUGUUUAUGUUUACCAUAUUUUGUUUCCUCGGUGGGUUUGUUUACUCACCGUGUGAAAUGACCCCUUCAACCUUUUUGCAAUUUGUAGUCUACCUUCUGAUUCUAUUAAAAUUAUUUACAACUUUCAACAAUGGAUCUCUUGGUUCUGGCAUCGAUGAAGAACGCAGCGAAAUGCGAUAAGUAGUGUGAAUUGCAGAAUUCAGUGAAUCAUCGAAUCUUUGAACGCACAUUGCGCCCCUUGGUUAUUCCAUUGGGCAUGCCUGUUCGAGCGUCAUAAGUAAAUUCAAGCCCUGCUUGGUGUUGAGUGCCUGUCCUGCCUUGUGCGCGGACUCUCUCGAAAACUAUUGGCGGUCCCCACAAGGGUUCUUUGCGCAGCACAUGUAGCGCUCUAGCCCUGAUGUGGGUGGCAUCCAAGAAAAGCCUACUUCUGUUAGCUUGACCUCGGAUCAGGUAGGGAUACCCGCUGAACUUAAGCAUAUCAAUA